AGAGUUUGAUCCUGGCUCAGGACGAACGCUGGCGGCGCGCCUAACACAUGCAAGUCGAACGAGCGAGAGAGAGCUUGCUUUCUCGAGCGAGUGGCGAACGGGUGAGUAACGCGUGAGGAACCUGCCUCAAAGAGGGGGACAACAGUUGGAAACGACUGCUAAUACCGCAUAAGCCCACGGCUCGGCAUCGAGCAGAGGGAAAAGGAGCAAUCCGCUUUGAGAUGGCCUCGCGUCCGAUUAGCUAGUUGGUGAGGUAACGGCCCACCAAGGCGACGAUCGGUAGCCGGACUGAGAGGUUGAACGGCCACAUUGGGACUGAGACACGGCCCAGACUCCUACGGGAGGCAGCAGUGGGGAAUAUUGCACAAUGGGGGAAACCCUGAUGCAGCGACGCCGCGUGGAGGAAGAAGGUCUUCGGAUUGUAAACUCCUGUUGUUGAGGAAGAUAAUGACGGUACUCAACAAGGAAGUGACGGCUAACUACGUGCCAGCAGCCGCGGUAAAACGUAGGUCACAAGCGUUGUCCGGAAUUACUGGGUGUAAAGGGAGCGCAGGCGGGAAGACAAGUUGGAAGUGAAAUCCAUGGGCUUAACCCAUGAACUGCUUUCAAAACUGUUUUUCUUGAGUAGUGCAGAGGUAGGCGGAAUUCCCGGUGUAGCGGUGGAAUGCGUAGAUAUCGGGAGGAACACCAGUGGCGAAGGCGGCCUACUGGGCACCAACUGACGCUGAGGCUCGAAAGUGUGGGUAGCAAACAGGAUUAGAUACCCUGGUAGUCCACACUGUAAACGAUGAUUACUAGGUGUUGGAGGAUUGACCCCUUCAGUGCCGCAGUUAACACAAUAAGUAAUCCACCUGGGGAGUACGACCGCAAGGUUGAAACUCAAAGGAAUUGACGGGGGCCCGCACAAGCGGAGGAACAUGUGGUUUAAUUCGAUGAUACGCGAGGAACCUUACCCGGGCUUGAACUGUAGGCGAACGAUUCAGAGAUGAAGAGGCCCUUCGGGGCGCCUAUGGAGGUGCUGCAUGGUUGUCGUCAGCUCGUGCCGUGAGGUGUCGGCUUAAGUGCCAUAACGAGCGCAACCCUUGUUCGUAGUUGCCAUCGGUUAAAGCCGGGCACUCUGCGAAGACUGCCUCCGUAAGGAGUGAGGAAGGUGGGGAUGACGUCAAAUCAGCACGGCCCUUACGUCCGGGGCUACACACGUGUUACAAUGGCAUGUACAGAAAGCUGGGUGUAUGCAAAUACGCUCGAAUCCCUAAAACAUGUCUCAGUUCGGACUGGGGUCUGCAACCCGACCCCACGAAGCUGGAUUCGCUAGUAAUCGCGCAUCAGCCAUGGCGCGGUGAAUACGUUCCCGGGCCUUGUACACACCGCCCGUCAAGCCAUGAAAGCCGGGGGCGCCUAAAGUCCGUGACCGCGAGGGUCGGCCUAGGGUGAAACCGGUGAUUGGGGCUAAGUCGUAACAAGGUA
Molecule: ribosomal RNA, 1467 nt
Filed under: metagenome
Description: bacterial SSU rRNA
Rfam family: Bacterial small subunit ribosomal RNA
Source: RNAcentral